ACUAUGCCUAGCCCUAAACAUCGAUAGCACAACACCCCUGCUAUCCGCCCGGGAACUACGAGCACCAGCUUGAAACCCAAAGGACUUGGCGGUGCUUUAGAUCCA
This 105-nucleotide ribosomal RNA is filed under the name unidentified. Its description in RNAcentral is "Gymnammodytes sp. RC12S21 partial 12S ribosomal RNA". The record is from RNAcentral.